Molecule: long non-coding RNA, 559 nt
Filed under: Equus caballus (horse)
Lineage: Eukaryota; Metazoa; Chordata; Mammalia; Perissodactyla; Equidae
Description: lncRNA (ENSECAG00000049242.1)
Source: RNAcentral
CUCACACAAGCCCUGCCCCACAGAGGCAGACACCUUUACCUGCCUGUAGAGGAUCAAGGCAUUCAGUCAAUGCAGGCUGAAAAGUAGCCUGAGGGCUUGCUGUUAGGUGGGGCCAAUCCCUAGGGCAGGUUGCCUGCCCUGGCUGAGCUGGAUUAAAUCUGUGCUGUAGUGGGUGUGGCAGACCCCUGGGCUAACAGCCCAAGGGAUGCACCUCAAUGGCCCCCACCUGUGUCCGUAUUAGCAUGCCUGGACCAGCUCAGAACAACAGCCCCCACCAAUGUCUCAGUCUCUGGAGAGGAUCCUCCUCUCACCAAGAUGCCCCCAGAGCCCACCAGGCUCCAGUUAUCUUCAAUUAUGAAUUUAAAAAAUGUUAUUUCUGUCUUCACUAGACCCAUCAACAAGAGCGAUACUAAAGCCUAGAAAGACUAAGAAAUUUUUCCGGAGUCACUUGGAUAGUGAUUGCCAGAGCCAGGAUUUGGCCCCAGAGUUUGGUCCCAGAGACUGAGCACUUAAUAAACAUGAUCUUCUCAGUGGAAAAGAAAUGAGAGCCCAGAAAUAA